UACGUAGGGCGCAAGCGUUAUCCGGAAUUAUUGGGCGUAAAGAGCUCGUAGGCGGUUUGUCGCGUCUGCUGUGAAAACCCGAGGCUCAACCUCGGGCCUGCAGUGGGUACGGGCAGACUAGAGUGUGGUAGGGGAGACUGGAAUUCCUGGUGUAGCGGUGGAAUGCGCAGAUAUCAGGAGGAACACCAAUGGCGAAGGCAGGUCUCUGGGCCGAUACUGACGCUGGAGGAGCGAAAGCGUGGGGAGCGAACAGG
RNAcentral lists this ribosomal RNA (254 nucleotides) under uncultured bacterium. RNAcentral describes it as "partial 16S ribosomal RNA". It matches the Rfam family "Bacterial small subunit ribosomal RNA", at positions 524 to 776 of the family's 1533-position model. The record is from RNAcentral.